GAUGAAGAACGCAGCGAAAUGCGAUAAGUAGUGUGAAUUGCAGAAUUCAGUGAAUCAUCGAAUCUUUGAACGCACAUUGCGCCCCUUGGUAUUCCAUGGGGCAUGCCUGUUCGAGCGUCAUUUGUACCCUCAAGCUUUGCUUGGUGUUGGGCGUCUUGUCUCGCGUUGCGCGUAGACUCGCCUUAAAGCGAUUGGCAGCCGGCAUUUUGGCCUUGGAGCGCAGCACAAUUUGCGCCUCUUGUCAUGAUUGUUGGCAUCCAUCAAGACCAUUUUUUUGCUCUUGACCUCGGAUCAGGUAGGGAUACCCGCUGAACUUAAGCAUAUCAAUAAGCGGAGGA
RNAcentral lists this unclassified non-coding RNA (338 nucleotides) under soil metagenome. RNAcentral describes it as "partial contains 5.8S ribosomal RNA, internal transcribed spacer 2, and large subunit ribosomal RNA". The stretch from base 1 to 120 matches the Rfam family "5.8S ribosomal RNA", at positions 35 to 154 of the family's 154-position model. The record is from RNAcentral.